RNAcentral lists this ribosomal RNA (2068 nucleotides) under Porphyromonadaceae bacterium. RNAcentral's name for it is "partial 23S ribosomal RNA". It matches the Rfam family "Bacterial large subunit ribosomal RNA", at positions 847 to 2925 of the family's 2925-position model. The record is from RNAcentral. Lineage: Bacteria; Pseudomonadati; Bacteroidota; Bacteroidia; Bacteroidales; Porphyromonadaceae.
AGCUGGUUCUCCCCGAAAUAGCUUUAGGGCUAGCGUUGAACGAAUCUACCCGGAGGUAGAGCACUGAAAUCAUGCGGGCGGCAUCUCGCCGUACCAAAUGAUAUCAAACUCCGAAUGCCGGGCAAGAAUAUUCAGCAGUCAGACUGUGGGCGAUAAGGUCCAUGGUCAAAAGGGAAACAGCCCAGAUCUACAGCUAAGGUCCCAAAGUACGUGUUAAGUGGAAAAGGAUGUAGGAUUUCAAAGACAGCUAGGAUGUUGGCUUAGAAGCAGCCACACAUUCAAAGAGUGCGUAAUAGCUCACUAGCCGAGAGGUCCCGCGCCGAAAAUUACCGGGGCUGAAACACGACACCGAAGCUUAGGGACAGGAUAUAUCUACGGGUAUAUUUUGUCGGUAGGGGAGCAUUCACAGGAGGAAGAAACCAUACUGAAAAGAGUGGCGGACUGCUGUGAAGGGAGAAUGCCGGAAUGAGUAGCGAGAUGAAGGUGAGAAUCCUUCAGGCCGAAUAUCCAAGGAUUUCAGGGUAAAGCUGAUCUGCCCUGAGGAAGUCGGGACCUAAGGCGAGGCCGAAAGGCGUAGCCGAUGGACAGCAGGUUGAGAUUCCUGCACCUGAGUAAAUCAGAAGAGCGAGGACACGGAGAAGUAGAGUCAGCCGGGAGAGAAGCCCGGUGCAAGCGAAGCUGCCGGUAGGGAGUAAAUCCCCUACGGAAGGCAGAUGCGUGAUGCGGAGCGAAAUAAAAGUAGUGAAGGACUUAAGGGAACCGUCGAGAAAAGUCGCUAUUGUGUUUACUCAGCCCGUACCGUAAACCGACACAGGUGGAUGAGGAGAGAAUCCUAAGGCCGACGGGAGAAGCAUUGCUAAGGAACUCGGCAAAAAGUCCCCGUAACUUCGGGAGAAGGGGAGCCUGCGAGAGCAGGCCGCAGAGAAGAGGCUCAAGCAACUGUUUAGCAAAAACACAGGUCUAUGCGAAACCGAAAGGUGAGGUAUAUGGGCUGACGCCUGCCCGGUGCUGGAAGGUUAAGAGGAGAGGUUAGCGCAAGCGAAGCUUUGAAUUGAAGCCCCAGUAAACGGCGGCCGUAACUAUAACGGUCCUAAGGUAGCGAAAUUCCUUGUCGGGUAAGUUCCGACCUGCACGAAUGGCGUAAUGAUUUGAGCACUGUCUCGGCAAUGCACCCGGUGAAAUUGAAGUACCAGUGAAGAUGCUGGUUACCCGCGCCAGGACGGAAAGACCCCAUGGAGCUUUACUCCAGCUUGAUACUGGGAUUCGGUAAUGUAUGUACAGGAUAGGUGGGAGACGAAGAAGUGAUGACGUCAGUUGUCACAGAGUCGCUGUUGGGAUACCACCCUUGCGUUACUGGAUUUCUAACCUGCGGCCGUGAAACCGGCCGGGGGACAAUGUCUGGCGGGGAGUUUGACUGGGGCGGUCGCCUCCGAAAGGGUAUCGGAGGCGCUCAAAGGUUCCUUCAGGAUGGACGGAAACCAUCCGAAGAGUGCAAAGGCAGAAGGGAGCCUGACUGUGACACCGACGGGUGGAACAGGUACGAAAGUAGGACUUAGUGAUCCGGUGGUAUGAAAGUGGGAUUGCCAUCGCUCAACGGAUAAAAGCUACCCUGGGGAUAACAGGCUGAUCACUCCCAAGAGUUCACAUCGACGGAGUGGUUUGGCACCUCGAUGUCGGCUCAUCGCAUCCUGGGGCUGUAGUAGGUCCCAAGGGUUGGGCUGUCCGCCCAUUAAAGCGGUACGCGAGCUGGGUUCAGAACGUCGUGAGACAGUUCGGUCCCUAUCUGUUGUGGGCGUUGGAAAUUUGAGGAGAGCUGCCCCUAGUACGAGAGGACCAGGGUGGACGUUCCUACGGUGCACCAGUUGUCACGCCAGUGGCAUAGCUGGAUAGCUGAGAACGGACCGGAUAAACGCUGAAGGCAUCUAAGCGUGAAACCGACUCCAAGAUUAGAUUUCCCAUCAUUUCAAAUGAAUAAGACCCCUUGAAGACGACGAGGUUGAUAGGUCAGAGAUGUAAGUGUAGCGAUACAUUCAGUUGACUGAUACUAAUAGGUCGAAGAUUUAUUCAC